ACUACUAUAAAAACAAAAAAUAAAAUAAAAAAUAUACAUUUCCAAAAAGGAAAAAUAAUUAUUUCUCAUUUUUCUAGGAAAAGCAAUUUUAUUAUGGAAUAGCAUGGUCAAUUUAGUAUGGGACUGCAACCAAUUAAGGAAAGAAGGUUUUUGCUGAUUAAUUAAAAUUAACAGAAAUUAUUCAAAUACUGUGUGGAUGAAUUAUAUAAACACCCCUACCCACCCACCUCCACAAGUGCCUGAAGUUACGCAACACUAUCUGGUGAUUUGAAGAGCAAAGGCCUUCAUUUGUUAGAGGCGAAGAAGGUGAGCAGAAUAAACAUUAACUUAUUCUAACUGGCCAAGUCUGCAGGAGAUGCAAUAGGUCUGAGAGACUGAAAUAGGAGUAGAACCACCACCUAGAGAGAAUUGUGAUGCUCAACAUUACAUAACUCCUUAGAGCUAGAUCUGGAACUAGAGUUUUUUCAAGUUGUACUUUUAUCUCAGACAAAUAAAUAUUGAAAUUAUUUAA
Non-coding RNA from Equus caballus (horse), 511 nucleotides. Lineage: Eukaryota; Metazoa; Chordata; Mammalia; Perissodactyla; Equidae. The record is from RefSeq and is a predicted model, not a curated record.